Long non-coding RNA from Brassica napus (rape), 4222 nucleotides. RefSeq lists it as uncharacterized. NCBI's taxonomy places the organism in Eukaryota, Viridiplantae, Streptophyta, Magnoliopsida, Brassicales, Brassicaceae. The record is from RefSeq and is a predicted model, not a curated record. The transcript has 3 exons.
UCCGAGCCAGAUCGCCGUUUCCAUCGCUGCAGAUAAGCCUAAGAAACCUGCACCUGUUUCCGCCGUCUCUGCUAAGUCAUCUGCUCCGUCGAGGCAACUUGCUCAACCUGGUGAGAUUCGCUUAACACGAUUAGCAAGUUAUUAAACUUUUGUGUCUAUUUGAUUCCAUUCGUGGUAUCUGAUUGUUUUUUAAUGAUGUUGAUUAGUGAGAGAGGCUAGGAGUGAUGCUCCACGUGGCGGUGGACGUGGUGGUGGAGACGGUGGAUUUAGCCGUGGUCGUGGUGGUUACAACCGUGAUUUUAGAGGCGGUGAUGGUAACAGUAAGCCCUCUGAGGAAGCAGGCGUUUCAAAGCCUCUCUAUAAGAAACGUAGUGUAUAUGGCGGUGCUCGUCGUGGUGGUGGUCGACGUGGUGAAGCUGGUGACGGUGAACGUCCUCGAAGGACAUUCGAGCGUCAUAGUGGAACUGACAGAGAGUCUAUCCUAACCUCAUUCAAUUUUUGUUGUUGUUGUUGCAUUAAUCUUUUAAGGUUAAGCUUUAAGUUUUGGUGAAGGGGUGACAUCAAAAGCGAAGAAGCUGGUUGUGGAAAUUGGGGAACACCAGGAGAAGAAGUUGUUGUUGUGGAGACUGAAGAAGUUGCUGGUGUUGAGACUGAGAAGCCUGCUGGUGAUGAGGUUGCUGCUGAUGUUAACAAGGAGAACACUGCUGAAGUGGAGGAGCAGAAAGAGUCUGAAGAUAAGGUAAGCAGAUGAGUUAAGAGAGAUGUUAGGUUGCUAGAUUAGGACAUGGAACUGAACUUACUCUUGUCUCGGCUUUUUUCUUUAUUAUCCUUCAAUGCUUAUUGGCUUGUGGUUUGGUAGGAAAUGACUCUGGAUGAGUAUGAGAAAAAUACUUGAGGAGAAGAGAAAAGCCCUUCAGUCUCAGAACACCUCUGAAAGGAAAGUUGAUACUAAAGUGUUUGAAUCAAUGCAAAAACUCUCAAACAAGAAGAAGUCUCGAUGAAAUCUUCAUCAAGUUGGUAAGACAUAUUACCUCCCUGUCUUGUCGACUAGAAACACUCUUAACCGGUUCCGAACCUUGCAUUUGAUCUAUCUCCCAGGGUUCUGAUAAGGACAAACGCAAAGAUGACAAAGAAGAGAAGGCUAAGAAGGUUUACAUUGUUGUCUGAAUGAAAGAGUUUGUAAAAGUCAAUAAGUUUGCUUAUGGAUGUGUUAUGUGGUUUACAGGCUGUGAACAUCAACGAGUUUUUGAAACCAGGUGAGGGUGAGAACUACUACCGAGGAGGAGGUCGUGGUGGUCGUGGAAGGGGACGUGGUGGUCGUGACGGGGAAGGUGCUUCUGGUGGUGGAUUUGAUGGUUACCGUAGUGAAGCUGCGCUUGCCAUUGGAGAUACUGCUCAGUUCCCAUCUCUUGGGGGCAAGUAGGAUCCAUCCUUGGAAACUUGUGCUGUCUCCUUCAGUUUUCCUCAUCAAUACUGAAGUGUUUCAUGCUGAGUGUUUGCCGGUCUGUUGUUGUCAAGUGUAAAGUGUUAGUUGUCGUCAGUUUUUAGAGUUUCUGCAAACUUAUGCAUGACCUGUCUUUUUUUUUAACGUUUGAAACAAUACCCUUUUCUAUUUUGGUUUACCACUUAGUCUUUAUAGUUGUUUGUUGUCUUCUCAAUAUGCCUUUUUUUCACUCAACUCAUCGUCUCCCAUCUCUCUUGAUUUCUUAUAUACUGAUUACGUCAAAAUCUCAAGCGAUCAUAACCAAAAUCAGAUGAACCACUAUAAAAAACGAGCCCCCAAAAGAGAUACCAACAUCUGGUUGUUUCAUUCUGUCCAUCUCCACGUUGAUGUUAUUAUCUCUCUGUUCUAAAAUGAUUACCGAUGCGGUGAUGCUAUUUCUGACCGAUGCGAUUUGACGAUAUUCGCCCUUGCCAAAUUUCAAAGGAGAUUAGUGGUCGUCAGCUCCGUUUCUGAGAUUCACGUAACAUCAUGGGUAUCAUCCUCUUACUUUAAGAUGAGAAGGUAUGAACAUCAUGACCCUCGCACCAACUCAUUAAUUCAUUACCAUAUUCUUAGCUUUGAAAUAAAUCGUUUUUAUCUUAGACAUGGCGAAUUCAUGGGCUUUCUACUUUGAUUCUUGAUCAUGAAAAGUUAUUUCAGUAUAUAUACUUAAAAAUAUGUAACCUUCUGUUUAGAAUAUGUGACUAAUAACGUCUUCACUCAUUGUCCACAUCAUAUUGUAAUCCAUGGCUUCAUUUCAGCCUGACUUUUUUUUGUCUAUCACAAAUCAUUUUCAACAAAGUCCAGUAAAAACUAUAAAAAUAAAUAAUUUUGUAAUUAUAUAAUUUUAUAAAUUUCUAGAGUUAUUAAUUUAAUAAAAAAAACUGUAUACUACAAUUCUAUAUUUUUGAAGUUAAUUUUGGAUAAAAUAAAUAAAAAAAAAUUUAUUGUUCGUAUAAAUUGUUAAAUUUUUAAAUCCGAUUAUUAUACCUUUUAUUACGCUAUUUGAUUUAUAUACUAACAACUACCUAAGUAAACACUAACCAAUCCCUUAAAUUUCAGCUUUUGAACAUGGAAGCGCUAAUAAUGUUAAUGUCCAUCAAAUCAUUACGAAGAUAAGAUAAUAAAAUAUUAACAAAUAUGAAUUCACCGGUCAUUCUUAUAUCACCUUAAUCAAAUUGUGUGAUAUCCGAUGUUCCAUUUAUCACCAUAAUAAACAACACGGAAAAUCAAAAGUUAAAAAAAAAACGACAACAACCCAUACACAACACUACACAACUCAUUAAACAAUGUAUCCGGCUCCGCGCUUGCGCGGGGGCUAUGCCCCUAGUUUAUUAUGUGUUUCAUUCAAUUCAAAUCAUGCUUAAAGGUUAUAUUGUUCUCCUGCUAUAGCUCAAUCGCCUCUUAAAAUUUAGUCAUCUUAAUUUUCAAUGUAUGUUUCUCAGUAAAAAGAUAUCUUCUUAAAGUAAUCAUUGAUCAUGGUUUUACUGCAGAAUACACACAUUCGCUCACAAUAAUCUUGUUCCCACAUUAUCACGAUUUGAAGGAAAAUGUUCAUUUCAUGAUUCUCAUCAUCAUCGACAUAUUUGGCAAUGGAAUUUUCCUCAAACAUAUCUUCAUCAUCUUUAUCGUAACUAGGGUGUUGAAUAAUGUGUACAUGAUAAGGUUUCACACACACACACAUAUAAGAUAUAUAUCUUUUUUAAAGUCUGACAGCUUUUUGAUGCAUCAUCAUCGAUCGGGUUUUAGAGGGAUUUCACCGUUGAUCGUGAAUCGUGAUUGAGUUCUUCUUUAUAUGCUGUUUUGCAUUUUCAUCGUGGGGUUUUAUUAGACUUGAGUUUUUUCACUUUAUUUUAAAUUUUCCUUGUUUGUAGAUUUAAUUAUGUUAAAUUUUAUCUAAAACUAUUUAGAACUUAUCAAAAUGAUUACUAAUUUGAAAGUUACAUUAAACAUAUAUACAAGUUAGUAUUGAAAAUUUAAAUAUGAUAGAUCUUGUAUAAAAUUAUUUAGAACUUAUCCAAAAAAUUCCUAAUUCAUAUAGGAAACUUAUCUCCAAUGGUUAGAUAGUAUACCCAAAAGAUAGUAUACCUAAUCUGUCACAUAUUGGAUAUACUAUCUUUUGUUUUUUGAUCAAAUAUUGGGUAUACUAUCUAACUAUUGGAGAUAAGUUUCCUUUAUGAAUUAGGAAUCUUUUGGAUAAAUUCUAACUAGUAUAAUAUAAUAUAUAUAUCACAAUUCAUAUAUAAAUAAUACACGUUUACCAAUGAAACAAUCACUUUCUAUACAGAAGAAAAAUCCUCAAAGACAUGGAGAACACAAAAAUGGUCAUAUUGGUAGCGAUGAUGCUAAUGAUUGGAAACCAUCUUACUGUAUCGGUGUACGCGGAUAAUCCAAUAACGCGUGCAGCAUGCUAUUUUAAAUGUAAUGAACUGUGUCUUAUUGAUCCACGUUAUCUUCUAAACUCAGAAAAAUGUGCCAAAAAAUGUGUUAAGGAAUGUCAUCUAACUGGUUAUGUAAAACAAGACACAAUCAACCAAAUUGACUAUUUCUGCCAAGUGGGUUGUGUUAAUCAUCGUUGUGCUCUUACUGAAAAUCAGAAUAUGGAGAAAGAUGCGGUCUGUGUGAAUUCAUGUUCAGAAAUUUGUAAUAAAAAGAACUAAAAGCGAUAGAAUAUGUUAUAUUAAUAACAAUUUAAUGUUUAAUGAAGAUAGUAUGAAUCAAAUCAAUUUAAUAUACAAU